UACGUAGGGGGCAAGCGUUGUCCGGAUUUAUUGGGCGUAAAGGGCGCGUAGGCGGUUUCCUAAGUUUGAAGUGACAGUGGGUGGCUUAACUACCCAAGGCCUUUGAAAACUGGGGAACUUGAGGACCAGAGAGGGACAUAGAAUUCCGGGUGGAGUGGUGAAAUGCGUAGAUAUCCGGAGGAAUACCAAAGGCGAAGGCAGUGUCCUGGAGGGUUAACUGACGCUGAGGCGCGAAAGCUAGGGGAGCGAACAGG
RNAcentral lists this ribosomal RNA (254 nucleotides) under uncultured bacterium. RNAcentral describes it as "partial 16S ribosomal RNA". It matches the Rfam family "Bacterial small subunit ribosomal RNA", at positions 524 to 776 of the family's 1533-position model. The record is from RNAcentral.